CGGCGCGCCGGUGACGUCACGGCCCGCGCCCGGCCAUUGAUUCCCGGCUGAAGGUAGCGCGGGCGACGUGGUGGGGGAGGGCGGGGGGAGGGUCCGGCGGCGGCGGCCACCCGGCGCGGGCUGCGUCCCGAGGAAUUCCCGGACGCGCAGCGCACCCCGGGGAUAAUACCCGCUGCCCGAGCGUGUCUCGCUCAGUGACGGCGUGGGAGGCCACCGCGGAGAGCCCGCUGCGGGGUCACGGCCGCUGCGCACAGCCUCCGUCUGGCUCUGGUGCAGGAGGCCUAGUUGCGUCACCUCCCUUUCCUUCAUCUGUUUGGCUUGAUUCCUGGGCCCCACUGGAGGCAUUGUCCAGAUGUGAACCAAGAUUUGGCCUUUUCACCAAGAGAAAAGGGAAGGCUCAUGGGCAUGGGCACACAGUGCUGAGAUCGUGGGCACACAGUAGGUAUUUGGUAAAUGCUUAUGGAAAGAACAAAUCUUGAGGCAUUGUCAUUCUUGCCAGAAGGAGGCCCUAUGCUUAAUGCCACCAAGUCUCCUUAAGCUAGCUAUUUUUAUACUACAACACAUUGUAACAUAAGCAUCUGAUUCGUGGAUUUAAAGAUCUGAAACUCUUUCAGACCAAGAUUGGUGUUAUUAUCUGUGACUAACUGAUUAGAGUUUUUAAGUAUGCGAACAAUGGAAUCUGAGCUUUUGGGCUUUUGUAGUGAUCUCUUGAGAUAUACCAAUUUGUUUUGCUCUAACAUCUGUUCAACUUGGACUUUAAUGGGUA
Molecule: long non-coding RNA, 766 nt
Filed under: Urocitellus parryii (Arctic ground squirrel)
Lineage: Eukaryota; Metazoa; Chordata; Mammalia; Rodentia; Sciuridae
Description: lncRNA (ENSUPAG00010001485.1)
Source: RNAcentral